UACGGAGGGUGCAAGCGUUAUUCGGAAUUACUGGGUGUAAAGGGCGUGUAGGCGGGACUGCAAGUCAGAUGUGAAAUUCCCAGGCUCAACCUGGGGGCUGCAUCUGAAACUGUGGUUCUUGAGUGCUGGAGAGGAAAGCGGAAUUCCUAGUGUAGCGGUGAAAUGCGUAGAUAUUAGGAGGAACACCAGUGGCGAAGGCGGCUUUCUGGCCAGUAACUGACGCUGAGGCGCGAAAGCGUGGGGAGCAAACAGG
This 253-nucleotide ribosomal RNA is filed under the name uncultured bacterium. RNAcentral describes it as "partial 16S ribosomal RNA". It matches the Rfam family "Bacterial small subunit ribosomal RNA", at positions 524 to 776 of the family's 1533-position model. The record is from RNAcentral.